ACUCCUACGGGAGGCAGCAGUGGGGAAUAUUGCACAAUGGGGGGAAACCCUGAUGCAGCCAUGCCGCGUGUGUGAAGAAGGCCUUCGGGUUGUAAAGCACUUUCAGUAGGGAGGAAGGUAGUGUAGUUAACACCUGCAUUAUUUGACGUUACCUACAGAAGAAGCACCGGCUAACUCCGUGCCAGCAGCCGCGGUAAUACGGAGGGUGCGAGCGUUAAUCGGAAUUACUGGGCGUAAAGCGCAUGCAGGCGGCCUGUUAAGUCAGAUGUGAAAGCCCGGGGCUUAACCUCGGAAUUGCAUUUGAAACUGGCAGGCUAGAGUCUUGUAGAGGGGGGUAGAAUUUCAGGUGUAGCGGUGAAAUGCGUAGAGAUCUGAAGGAAUACCAGUGGCGAAGGCGGCCCCCUGGACAAAGACUGACGCUCAGAUAGCG
RNAcentral lists this ribosomal RNA (430 nucleotides) under uncultured bacterium. RNAcentral's name for it is "bacterial SSU rRNA". It matches the Rfam family "Bacterial small subunit ribosomal RNA", at positions 335 to 755 of the family's 1533-position model. The record is from RNAcentral.